Molecule: ribosomal RNA, 1213 nt
Filed under: metagenome
Description: bacterial SSU rRNA
Rfam family: Bacterial small subunit ribosomal RNA
Source: RNAcentral
ACGGUUAGCUGGUCUGAGAGGAUGGUCAGCCACACUGGGACUGAGACACUGCCCAGACCCCUACGGGAGGCUGCAGUCGAGGAUCAUUCGCAAUGCGCGAAAGCGUGACGAUGCGACGCUGCGUGUAGGAUGACGGCCCUAGGGUUGUAAACUACUGUCAUGAGGGAAGAACCAGCGGUGUGUAAAUAAUGCACCGCUCUGACGGUACCCCAAGAGGAAGCCACGGCUAACUCUGUGCCAGCAGCCGCGGUAAUACAGAGGUGGCGAGCGUUGUUCGGAUUUACUGGGCUUAAAGCGUACGUAGGCGGUUUGGUAUGUCGGAUGUGAAAGCCCAUGGCUCAACUGUGGAACUGCAUACGAAACUACCAUGACUAGAGUGCAGGAGGGGAGAGUGGAAUUCUUGGUGUAGCGGUGAAAUGCGUUGAUAUCAAGAGGAACACCGGUGGCGAAGGCGACUCUCUGGAAUGUAACUGACGCUGAGGUACGAAAGCGUGGGGAGCAAACAGGAUUAGAUACCCUGGUAGUCCACGCCGUAAACGUUGCGGACUUGGUGUUGGAGGUAUUGACCCCUUCAGUGCCGGAGCUAACGCGUUAAGUCCGCCGCCUGGGGAGUACGGCCGCAAGGCUAAAACUCAAAGAAAUUGACGGGGGCCCGCACAAGCGGAGGAGCAUGUGGCUUAAUUCGAUGCAACGCGAAGAACCUUACCAGGGCUUGACAUCUAGCUGCACGCCUCCCGAAAGGGAGGAAGCCUUCGAGGGUGCUAGACAGGUGCUGCAUGACUGUCGUCAGUUCGUGCCGUGAGGUGUUGGGUUAAGUCCCGCAACGAACGCAACCCUUGUGUUUAGUUGCCACCGGUGACGUUAAGUUGCCGAGCACUCUAAACAGACUGCCUGUACAAGCAGGAGGAAGGUGGGGACGACGUCAAGUCAGUAUGGCCCUUACGCCCUGGGCUGCACACGUGCUACAAUGGCUGGUACAAUGGGCUGCAAUACCGCGAGGUGGAGCUAAUCCCCAAAACCAGCCCCAGUUCGGAUUGGAGUCUGAAACUCGACUCCAUGAAGUUGGAUUCGCUAGUAAUGCCGCAUCAGCUACGGCGGCGUGAAUACGUUCCCGGGCCUUGUACACACCGCCCGUCACAUCAUGAAAGCCGUCUGCACCCGUAGUCGCUGAGCCAACCCGCAAGGGAGGCAGGUGCCGAAGGUGUGGGUGGUG